Helianthus annuus (common sunflower) is the source of this 393-nucleotide long non-coding RNA. RefSeq lists it as uncharacterized. The record is from RefSeq and is a predicted model, not a curated record. The transcript is spliced from 2 exons. NCBI's taxonomy places the organism in Eukaryota, Viridiplantae, Streptophyta, Magnoliopsida, Asterales, Asteraceae.
UCAUCGUCAUGACCAUCUUCUUCUACAGUGGAAACAACGCUUUUCGCGUCUUCUUCCAAAAGUGAAAGUGCUAUCGCGCGAUCAAUCUCUUCGCUAUCAAAGUCUGACAACGCGUCCUAAAUCCACAUAACAGACAAUGAAGGCAAAUUACAUAAGGAUAGCAGGUAGACGAGCAACAAACUGCGCCGCCAUCCCUUUCUGAAUAGACGAGCAGGUAUGAACAUUGAAAUAAUCAAUUAUAAACAACUAAUCAAACAAAUUAUUGAAAAGAACAUACCCCUGUAGUUUGAGGAUACUUAUCAUAUCUCCCAUUAUGUUUUCCGGAAUAUUUAUUGCUGGAACUUAACCCUUUAAGAAUCUUUUUUAUCCAGCCCAUGAAUCUUUUGAAGCUCU